CCUACGGGAGGCAGCAGUGAGGAAUAUUGGUCAAUGGACGCGAGUCUGAACCAGCCAAGUAGCGUGAAUGAUGACUGCCCUACGGGUUGUAAACUUCUUUUAUAUGGGAAUAAAAUGUUCCACGUGUGCGUUUUUGUAUGUACCAUAUGAAUAAGGAUCGGCUAACUCCGUGCCAGCAGCCGCGGUAAUACGGAGGAUCCGAGCGUUAUCCGGAUUUAUUGGGUUUAAAGGGAGCGUAGGUGGGUUGUUAAGUCAGUUGUGAAAGUUUGCGGCUCAACCGUAAAAUUGCAGUUGAUACUGGCAGCCGUGAGUACAGUAGAGGUAGGCGGAAUUCGUGGUGUAGCGGUGAAAUGCUUAGAUAUCACGAAGAACUCCGAUUGCGAAGGCAGCUUACUAGACUGCCACUGACACUGAGGCUCGAAAGUGUGGGUAUCAAACAGGAUUGGAUACCCCUGUAGUC
RNAcentral lists this ribosomal RNA (460 nucleotides) under uncultured bacterium. Its description in RNAcentral is "partial 16S ribosomal RNA". It matches the Rfam family "Bacterial small subunit ribosomal RNA", at positions 338 to 795 of the family's 1533-position model. The record is from RNAcentral.